Molecule: ribosomal RNA, 2890 nt
Filed under: Acinetobacter baumannii
Lineage: Bacteria; Pseudomonadati; Pseudomonadota; Gammaproteobacteria; Moraxellales; Moraxellaceae
Also listed under: 2 other names
Description: bacterial LSU rRNA
Rfam family: Bacterial large subunit ribosomal RNA
Source: RNAcentral
UCAAGUAAUUAAGUGCAUGUGGUGGAUGCCUUGGCAGUCAGAGGCGAUGAAAGACGUGAUAGCCUGCGAAAAGCUCCGGGGAGGCGGCAAAUAUCCUUUGAUCCGGAGAUGUCUGAAUGGGGGAACCCACCUACUUUAAGGUAGGUAUUGCAACAUGAAUACAUAGUGUUGCAAGGCGAACGAGGGGAAGUGAAACAUCUCAGUACCCUUAGGAAAAGAAAUCAAUUGAGAUUCCCUCAGUAGCGGCGAGCGAACGGGGAUCAGCCCAUUAAGUUAUGUGUGUUUUAGUGGAACGCUCUGGGAAGUGCGAACGUAGAGGGUGAUAUUCCCGUACACGAAAGGGCACACAUAAUGAUGACGAGUAGGGCGAGGCACGUGAAACCUUGUCUGAAUAUGGGGGGACCAUCCUCCAAGGCUAAAUACUCCUGACUGACCGAUAGUGAACCAGUACCGUGAGGGAAAGGCGAAAAGAACCCCUGUGAGGGGAGUGAAAUAGAUCCUGAAACCGCAUGCAUACAAGCAGUGGGAGCACCUUCGUGGUGUGACUGCGUACCUUUUGUAUAAUGGGUCAGCGACUUAUAUUCAGUAGCAAGGUUAACCGUAUAGGGGAGCCGUAGAGAAAUCGAGUCUUAAUAGGGCGUUUAGUUGCUGGGUAUAGACCCGAAACCAGGCGAUCUAUCCAUGAGCAGGUUGAAGGUUGGGUAACACUAACUGGAGGACCGAACCCACUGUCGUUGAAAAGCCAGGGGAUGACUUGUGGAUAGGGGUGAAAGGCUAAUCAAGCCUGGUGAUAGCUGGUUCUCCCCGAAAGCUAUUUAGGUAGCGCCUCGGACGAAUACCAUAGGGGGUAGAGCACUGUUUCGGCUAGGGGGUCAUCCCGACUUACCAAACCGAUGCAAACUCCGAAUACCUAUGAGUACUAUCCGGGAGACAGACUGCGGGUGCUAACGUCCGUAGUCAAGAGGAAAACAAUCCAGACCGCCAGCUAAGGCCCCAAAAUCAUAGUUAAGUGGGAAACGAUGUGGGAAGGCAUAGACAGCUAGGAGGUUGGCUUAGAAGCAGCCACCCUUUAAAGAAAGCGUAAUAGCUCACUAGUCGAGUCGGCCUGCGCGGAAGAUGUAACGGGGCUAAAACUAUGUGCCGAAGCUGCGGAUUUGACAUUAGUCAAGUGGUAGGGGAGCGUUCUGUAAGCCGAUGAAGGUGUGUUGAGAAGCAUGCUGGAGGUAUCAGAAGUGCGAAUGCUGACGUGAGUAACGACAAAACGGGUGAAAAACCCGUUCGCCGAAAGACCAAGGGUUCCAGUCCAACGUUAAUCGGGGCUGGGUGAGUCGACCCCUAAGGCGAGGCCGAAAGGCGUAGUCGAUGGGAAAAUGGUUAAUAUUCCAUUACUUCUGUGUAAUGCGAUGAGAGGACGGAGAAGGCUAAAUCAGCCUGGCGUUGGUUGUCCAGGUGAAAGGAUGUAGGCAUGUAUCUUAGGCAAAUCCGGGGUACUCUAUGCUGAGAUCUGAUAGCAAGCUGUACUUGUACAGCGAAGUGGUUGAUGCCAUGCUUCCAGGAAAAGUCUCUAAGCUUCAGUUACACAGGAAUCGUACCCGAAACCGACACAGGUGGUCAGGUCGAGUAGACCAAGGCGCUUGAGAGAACUCUGCUGAAGGAACUAGGCAAAAUGGUACCGUAACUUCGGGAGAAGGUACGCUGUUGUUGGUGAUGGAACUCGCUUCCUGAGCUGACGACAGCCGCAGAAACCAGGCCGCUGCAACUGUUUAUUAAAAACAUAGCACUCUGCAAACACGAAAGUGGACGUAUAGGGUGUGAUGCCUGCCCGGUGCUGGAAGGUUAAUUGAUGGGGUUAGCGUAAGCGAAGCUCUUGAUCGAAGCCCCAGUAAACGGCGGCCGUAACUAUAACGGUCCUAAGGUAGCGAAAUUCCUUGUCGGGUAAGUUCCGACCUGCACGAAUGGCAUAAUGAUGGCGGCGCUGUCUCCAGCAGAGGCUCAGUGAAAUCGAAAUCGCUGUGAAGAUGCAGUGUACCCGCGGCUAGACGGAAAGACCCCGUGAACCUUUACUGCAGCUUGACACUGAACUUUGACCUUACUUGUGUAGGAUAGGUGGGAGGCUUUGAAGCUGGAACGCUAGUUCCAGUGGAGCCGUCCUUGAAAUACCACCCUGGUAAUGUUGAGGUUCUAACUCUGUCCCGUGAUCCGGGACGAGGACCGUGUCUGGUGGGUAGUUUGACUGGGGCGGUCUCCUCCUAAAGAGUAACGGAGGAGUACGAAGGUGCGCUCAGCGUGGUCGGAAAUCACGCGUAGAGUAUAAAGGCAAAAGCGCGCUUAACUGCGAGACCCACAAGUCGAGCAGGUACGAAAGUAGGUCUUAGUGAUCCGGUGGUUCUGUAUGGAAGGGCCAUCGCUCAACGGAUAAAAGGUACUCUGGGGAUAACAGGCUGAUACCGCCCAAGAGUUCAUAUCGACGGCGGUGUUUGGCACCUCGAUGUCGGCUCAUCUCAUCCUGGGGCUGAAGCAGGUCCCAAGGGUAUGGCUGUUCGCCAUUUAAAGAGGUACGCGAGCUGGGUUUAGAACGUCGUGAGACAGUUCGGUCCCUAUCUACCGUGGGCGCUGGAAAUUUGAGAGGAUCUGCUCCUAGUACGAGAGGACCAGAGUGGACGAACCUCUGGUGUACCGGUUGUGACGCCAGUCGCAUCGCCGGGUAGCUAUGUUCGGAAGGGAUAACCGCUGAAAGCAUCUAAGCGGGAAGCCUACCUCAAGAUAAGAUUUCCCUAGGACUUUAUGUCCUCUAAAGAGCCGUUCGAGACUAGGACGUUGAUAGGUUGGAUGUGGAAGCAUAGUGAUAUGUGAAGCUGACCAAUACUAAUUGCUCGUGAGGCUUGACUAU